This 500-nucleotide ribosomal RNA is filed under the name uncultured bacterium. RNAcentral describes it as "partial 16S ribosomal RNA". It matches the Rfam family "Bacterial small subunit ribosomal RNA", at positions 29 to 523 of the family's 1533-position model. The record is from RNAcentral.
AUUGAACGCUGGCGGAAUGCUUUACACAUGCAAGUCGAACGGCAGCACGGGGGCAACCCUGGUGGCGAGUGGCGAACGGGUGAGUAAUACAUCGGAACGUGCCCAGUCGUGGGGGAUAACGUAGCGAAAGUUACGCGAAUACCGCAUACGAUCUAUGGAUGAAAGCGGGGGACCGUAAGGCCUCGCGCGAUUGGAGCGGCCGAGGUCAGAUUAGGUAGUUGGGGGGGUAAAGGCCCACCCAGCCGACGAUCUGUAGCUGGUCUGAGAGGACGACCAGCCACACUGGGACUGAGACGCGGCCCAGACUCCUACGGGAGGCAGCAGUGGGGAAUUUUGGACAAUGGGCGCAAGCCUGAUCCAGCCAUUCCGCGUGCAGGACGAAGGCCUUCGGGUUGUAAACUGCUUUUGUACGGAACGAAAAGGUCCUGGUUAAUACCCGGGGCUCAUGACGGUACCGUAAGAAUAAGCACCGGCUAACUACGUGCCAGCCGCCGCGGUAA